AUGGCGAGGGAUCUGGAGGAGGAAGGGUGUAGCGAGAGGGAGAGAGAGAAUGAGGGGGAGCGCGAGGGCAAGUGGGGAGAAUGGGUGGAGCAGUGGGAGGAGCCUAAGGGGGCAGGGGUCCUUAUCCUCCCUCGUCGACGCCGGCGAGGGGGUUCGGCGGAGGUGAGGGAGGCGCAGCGCGCGAUUGGACCGGCGACGGUGCUGGCCAUCGGCACGGCGACGCCACCCAACUGCGUGUACCAGGCAGACUAUCCGGACUACUACUUCAGGGUCACAAAGAGCGAGCACCUGGUCGACCUCAAGGCCAAGUUCAAGAGGAUGUGUGACAAGUCACAUAUCCGGAAGAGAUACAUGCACCUGACGGAGGAGAUGCUUGAGGUGAACCCCAGCAUGUGCACGUUCAUGGCGCCGUCGUUGAGCGCACGUCGGGCCAUCGCUGUCCCCCUGGUCCCAAAGCUCGGAAAGGAGGCCGCAGAGAAGGCGAUCAGGGAAUGGGGGCAGCCUCUGUCCAGCAUCACCCACCUCAUCUUCUGCAGCACCUCCGGAGUGGACUUGCCAGGCGCCGACUUCCACCCGACAAAGAUGCUCGGCCUGCGUCCGUCAGUGAAGCGUUUCAUGAUGUACCAGCAGGGCUGCUUCACCGGCGGCAUGGUGCUCCGUCUGGCCAAGGACCUGGCCGAGAACAACCGCGGAGCACGCAUGCUGGUGGUCUGCUCGGAGAACAUGGUCAUGACCUUCCAUGGCCCGGACGAGUCCCACCUCGACUUGCUGGUAGGCCAGGUGCUCUUCGGCGACGGCGCGGCAGCCGUGGUCGUGGGGGCGGACCCCGACGAGCCCAUGGAGCGGCCGCUGUUCUAG
This 858-nucleotide ribosomal RNA is filed under the name Triticum aestivum (bread wheat). RNAcentral describes it as "partial small subunit ribosomal RNA". Lineage: Eukaryota; Viridiplantae; Streptophyta; Magnoliopsida; Poales; Poaceae. The record is from RNAcentral.